Molecule: ribosomal RNA, 776 nt
Filed under: uncultured Neocallimastigales
Lineage: Eukaryota; Fungi; Neocallimastigomycota; Neocallimastigomycetes; Neocallimastigales
Description: partial large subunit ribosomal RNA
Rfam family: Eukaryotic large subunit ribosomal RNA
Source: RNAcentral
GUACACGCUGUGACUAGCAUAUCAAUAAGCGGAGGAAAAGAAACUAACAAGGAUUCCCCUAGUAACGGCGAGUGAAGCGGGAAGAGCUCAAAUUUGAAAUCUUAAAGGGUUUCCCUUUACGAAUUGUAGUUUAAAGAAGUGCUUUUCCUGUUGAGGUUUUGGUAAAAGUUCUUUGGAAUAGGACAUCAUAGAGGGUGAGAAUCCCGUAUUUGACCUUUACUUUCAACUUUGUGAUACACUUUCAAAGAGUCGGAUUGUUUGGGAAUGCAGUCCAAAAUGGGUGGUAAAUUUCAUCUAAAGCUAAAUAUUGGCGAGAGACCGAUAGCGAACAAGUACCGUGAGGGAAAGAUGAAAAGAACUUUGAAAAGAGAGUUAAACAGUACGUGAAAUUGUCAAAAGGGAAGCGUUUGACACCAGUGUUGUUUUUCUGAAAAUCAAUUAAAGAACUGUUUAUGCUAAGUUGUUUAGACUUUAUCAGCUAACUGUUUAGUUUUGAGCUUUUCUUUAAUGCACUUUUCAGUUAACAAGUCAACAUCAAUUUCUUUUGCUGUAAAAAAGCUUGAGGAAGGUGGCUUGAGAUUCGUCUUAAGUGUUUAUAGCCUCUUGCCUAUGCAGUCGGAGAGAUUGAGGUCUGCAGCGUAGAUCCUUCGGGGCUAAAUGCAUUUGUGCUAAGUUAUAGCAUUUUAUAGACAACUUGUUGACUAUGAUUUGUCUUGUAGCUUACUCGCUUAUGUUAUUUUACCUACGCUUAGGAUGUUGAGUCGUAGAGCACGCAG